UACGGAGGGUGCGAGCGUUGUCCGGAGUCACGGGGCGUAAAGCGUACGCAGGCGGCUGCGCAAGACAGAUGUGAAAUCCCCGGGCCUAACCUGGGAACUGCAUUUGUGACUGCGCAGCUCGAGUCCGUCAGAGGGGGGUGGAAUUCCACGUGUAGCAGUGAAAUGCGUAGAGAUGUGGAGGAACACCGAUGGCGAAGGCAGCCCCCUGGGAUGAGACUGACGCUCAGGUACGAAAGCGUGGGGAGCAAACAGG
RNAcentral lists this ribosomal RNA (253 nucleotides) under uncultured bacterium. Its description in RNAcentral is "partial 16S ribosomal RNA". It matches the Rfam family "Bacterial small subunit ribosomal RNA", at positions 524 to 776 of the family's 1533-position model. The record is from RNAcentral.